GUUGCUUCUCGGCCUUUUGCUCAGAUCGACUGUAGUAUCUGUUCUAAUCAGUCUAAUGUCUGAUACGUCCUCUAUCUGGGAACCAUGUAUUAAGUUGGUUUGUGGAUCAGGGAGUUGGAGUAGGGGCUUGCUCCGUCCACUCCACACACUGACCUGGUUUUGCAGUACCUCCAGGAACGGUGCAACCCUU
Molecule: small nuclear RNA, 190 nt
Organism: Sphaeramia orbicularis (orbiculate cardinalfish)
Lineage: Eukaryota; Metazoa; Chordata; Actinopteri; Kurtiformes; Apogonidae
Gene: U2
Rfam family: U2 spliceosomal RNA
About the family: U2 is a small nuclear RNA (snRNA) component of the spliceosome (involved in pre-mRNA splicing). Complementary binding between U2 snRNA (in an area lying towards the 5' end but 3' to hairpin I) and the branchpoint sequence (BPS) of the intron results the bulging out of an unpaired adenosine, on the BPS, which initiates a nucleophilic attack at the intronic 5' splice site, thus starting the first of two transesterification reactions that mediate splicing.
Source: Ensembl